Molecule: long non-coding RNA, 576 nt
Organism: Salvelinus namaycush (lake trout)
Lineage: Eukaryota; Metazoa; Chordata; Actinopteri; Salmoniformes; Salmonidae
Exons: 3
Source: RefSeq, a predicted model, not a curated record
GGGUCCAAAUAAAACAAAAUAAAACAUCCCAAAAUGUUAUAAAAUAUCAACAAAUUCAUCUCCAUUAUCCCCCAUGUUGCUCCACCUCCGCUUCUGGGAGGAGCCAGGCGGGGCCACAAAGCGGACUCCUCCAUCUCAUCCCACCAACUCUGUCAGUCCACCAGGCCACUGCAGUAACAGCCACAUCUUCACAUCACAAAGCUGCAGUACUAUCUCAAUCGGUUGAAGUACCAUCCAGGAUCCUGUGGCAACGUCAAUGUGAAACAGCAUUGACCCCUGAUCACCACCAACCAGGGCUCCACAGUGGUUGCCUUGGACACCCAGUGAAACAGCAUUGACCCCUGAUCACCACCAACCAGGGCUCCACAGUGGUUGCCUUGGACACCCAGUGAAACAGCAUUGACCCCUGAUCACCACCAACCAGGGCUCCACAGUGGUUGCCUUGGACACCCAGUGAAACCAGAGAGAGCACACCAGGCAGCAGGGAGCACUUUGAUGUGAUUGGCUGUUCAGCAGGAAGAUUCAUCUGGCUACACAGAAGGGAUGAUGGCUCUGACCAAUACAUUUUUUGUUAUG